AACGAACGCUGGCGGCGCGCCUAAUACAUGCAAGUCGAGCGAGAAGACGUAGCAAUACGUUUGUAAAGCGGCGAACGGGUGAGGAAUACAUGGGUAACCUACCCUAGAGUGGGGAAUAACUAGCCGAAAGGUUAGCUAAUACCGCGUACGCUCCUUGGACUUCGGUUCAGGGAGGAAAGCGAUGCCGAGGGUAUCGCGCUCUUGGAUGGGCUCAUGUCCUAUCAGCUUGUUGGUGAGGUAACGGCUCACCAAGGCUUCGACGGGUAGCUGGUCUGAGAGGACGAUCAGCCACACUAGCACUGCGACACGGGCCAGACUCCUACGGGAGGCAGCAGUAAGGAAUAUUGCGCAAUGGGCGAAAGCCUGACGCAGCGACGCCGCGUGGGGGAUGAAGGUCUUCGGAUUGUAAACCCCUUUCGGGAGGGAAGA
Molecule: ribosomal RNA, 429 nt
Filed under: uncultured bacterium
Lineage: Bacteria
Description: bacterial SSU rRNA
Rfam family: Bacterial small subunit ribosomal RNA
Source: RNAcentral